RNAcentral lists this transfer RNA (86 nucleotides) under Felis catus (domestic cat). It matches the Rfam family "tRNA". From Rfam's summary of the family: Transfer RNA (tRNA) molecules are approximately 80 nucleotides in length. Their secondary structure includes four short double-helical elements and three loops (D, anti-codon, and T loops). Further hydrogen bonds mediate the characteristic L-shaped molecular structure. tRNAs have two regions of fundamental functional importance: the anti-codon, which is responsible for specific mRNA codon recognition, and the 3' end, to which the tRNAs corresponding amino acid is attached (by aminoacyl-tRNA synthetases). tRNAs cope with the degeneracy of the genetic code in two manners: having more than one tRNA (with a specific anti-codon) for a particular amino acid; and 'wobble' base-pairing, i.e. permitting non-standard base-pairing at the 3rd anti-codon position. Lineage: Eukaryota; Metazoa; Chordata; Mammalia; Carnivora; Felidae. The record is from Rfam by way of RNAcentral.
ACCUGGGUGGCUCAGUCUGUUGAGCAUCUGACUUCAGCUCAGGUCAUGAUCCCACAGUUUUGUGGGUUCAAGCCCCACAUUGGGCU